UACGAAGGGACCUAGCGUUGUUCGGAAUUACUGGGCGUAAAGGGCGCGUAGGCGGUCUUUUAAGUUAGAUGUGAAAUCCCUGGGCUUAACCUAGGAAUGGCAUUUAAUACUGGGUGACUAGAGUUUGAGAGGGGAUAGUGGAAUUGCGAGUGUAGAGGUGAAAUUCGUAGAUAUUCGCAGGAACACCAGUGGCGAAGGCGGCUAUCUGGCUCGAGACUGACGCUGAGGCGCGAAAGCGUGGGGAGCAAACAGG
This 253-nucleotide ribosomal RNA is filed under the name uncultured bacterium. Its description in RNAcentral is "partial 16S ribosomal RNA". It matches the Rfam family "Bacterial small subunit ribosomal RNA", at positions 524 to 776 of the family's 1533-position model. The record is from RNAcentral.